Molecule: long non-coding RNA, 760 nt
Organism: Microcebus murinus (gray mouse lemur)
Lineage: Eukaryota; Metazoa; Chordata; Mammalia; Primates; Cheirogaleidae
Source: RefSeq, a predicted model, not a curated record
UUGUAGGCUCCCAACUCAGUAGGAACAGAGACAACAUCUGUCCUACUGACUGGUGUACCCUGAGCAUCUAACACAAUAUCUGUACCACAUAGGUGCUCAGUAAGUAUUUGUAGCUUGAUUAAACCAUAUUUUGUUUUAAGGAUUUCAUUCCUAAUCACCUUAGGAAAAAACGGAUACAGCCAGAAGAUGUAAUCCUAGCAAGAUAGUAGAUUUUCCAUCACUUCAAGAAGAAAAUGUGCAUUUCUUAAGAUGACCUUCCCAGUAACAAGCAGUACCACAUGACGUCUGGAUGGGCCCCACAACAAUGUUGUCAGUGUCUCUCCAACUUUAGGAAUGUUCCAGGCCCCAUCACCAUUGAACAAGAGAAGUAGUUAUUCAAGUUAACAAAUAUUUAUGGAACACUAGGCACUAAGCACAGUUGGAACAGGAUCAGGGAAUGACAACAUUGAGAGAACAAGAGACAUCAAAGCAAGGAAGACACAUGGCCAACUUCCACAGAAUCCUGCAAAAGCAAUGCACAGAUGGUGUAUGAUAUUGAGUUCCAUGAAAGGCUCUCUGUAUUUUGAUGAUAUUAGUUGAUGCACAGCCCUGAUACAAGAAAUUAUUUGACAAGGCAGAACAAUCUUCCAGAGAGACUAGAAGAAUUUAGUGAAAACGUGACUUGCUUCAUUCAACCAAGGACAUACGGAUCCUAACUGAGAUGCCUGGUCCCAAAGAACUAAUGCCCCUAGAGUUCACAAUGUUAAAUUGAUACGCACAA